This 489-nucleotide ribosomal RNA is filed under the name uncultured Actinomyces sp. RNAcentral describes it as "bacterial SSU rRNA". It matches the Rfam family "Bacterial small subunit ribosomal RNA", at positions 33 to 507 of the family's 1533-position model. Lineage: Bacteria; Bacillati; Actinomycetota; Actinomycetes; Actinomycetales; Actinomycetaceae. The record is from RNAcentral.
UGGCUACAGGACGACGCUGGCGGCGUGCUUAACACAUGCAAGUCGAACGCUGAAGCCCAGCUUGCUGGGUGGAGUGAGUGGCGAACGGGUGAGUAACACGUGAGUAACCUGCCCCCUCUUUGGGAUAACGCCCGGAAACGGGUGCUAAUACUGGAUAUUCACUGGCCUUCGCAUGGGGGUUGGUGGAAAGGUUUUUUCUGGUGGGGGAUGGGCUCGCGGCCUAUCAGCUUGUUGGUGGGGUGAUGGCCUACCAAGGCUUUGACGGGUAGCCGGCCUGAGAGGGUGACCGGUCACAUUGGGACUGAGGUACGGCCCAGACUCCUACGGGAGGCAGCAGUGGGGAAUAUUGCACAAUGGGCGAAAGCCUGAUGCAGCGACGCCGCGUGAGGGAUGACGGCCUUCGGGUUGUAAACCUCUUUCGCUCAUGGUCAAGCCGCGACAUUGGUUGUGGUGAGGGUAGUGGGUAAAGAAGCGCCGGCUAACUACGUG